GUCCAGACUCCUACGGGAGGCAGCAGUGAGGAAUAUUGGUCAAUGGGCGCGAGCCUGAACCAGCCAAGUCGCGUGAGGGAAGACGGUCCUAUGGAUUGUAAACCUCUUUUGUCGGGGAGCAAAAGACGCCACGUGUGGCGUUCCGAGAGUACCCGAAGAAAAAGCAUCAGCUAACUCCGUGCCAGCAGCCGCGGUAAUACGGAGGAUGCGAGCGUUAUCCGGAUUUAUUGGGUUUAAAGGGUGCGCAGGCGGUCUGAUAGGACGGGGGUAACAGCGCGGGGCCCAACCCCGGCCCGCCGUUGAAACUGGCAGUCUCGAGUUGGAGAGAAGUAUGCGGAAUGCGCGGUGUAGCGGUGAAAUGCAUAGAUAUCGCGCAGAACUCCGAUUGCGAAGGCAGCAUGCCGGCUCCACACUGACGCUGAGGCACGAAAGCGUGGGUAUCGAACAGGAUUAGAUACCCUUGUA
RNAcentral lists this ribosomal RNA (465 nucleotides) under uncultured bacterium. Its description in RNAcentral is "bacterial SSU rRNA". It matches the Rfam family "Bacterial small subunit ribosomal RNA", at positions 329 to 792 of the family's 1533-position model. The record is from RNAcentral.